This 1497-nucleotide unclassified non-coding RNA is filed under the name Hevea brasiliensis (rubber tree). Lineage: Eukaryota; Viridiplantae; Streptophyta; Magnoliopsida; Malpighiales; Euphorbiaceae. The record is from RNAcentral.
AUGGCUUCUUCACCUCGAUUUGUUCUUUUGUCUCUCCUCAUUUUCUUCUCUCUCUCCCAUGCACAAACAUCUUCCUCCCACUCAAAACCCAAAGCACUCGUCCUCCCCAUCUCCAAAGAUGCCUCCACCCUCCAAUACCUCACCCAUCUCAACUUGGGAACCCCUUCCCUUCAAACAACCCUUGUUGUUGACCUUGGAGGCAGGCAUUUAUGGAUAGACUGCUCAAGUGGAUAUCAGUCAUCCACUUAUAGACCAGGACAUUGCGGCUCUGCCUCAUGUUCCCUGGCUAAAGCCGAUUGCGUUAGCAUAUGCCCCAAUCCUGCUAGGCCUGGUUGCAACAACAAUACCUGCAAAGUACUGGCCAAAAACAGUGUCUUUGGAGGUUUUCUGAUCCCUGAGGUUGCCAUUGAUACAAUCUCUAUCCGAUCCACAGAUGGCUCUAAGGCCGGUUCGCACGUUUCAAUUCCCAAUUUUAUCUUCGCUUGUGCAGAGUCCUUCAACCUAAUAAAUCUUGCUAGUGGCGCAAAGGGGAUGCUUGGCCUAGCAAAGGAACGAGUUUCAAUGCCCACGCAGCUUUCAUCUGCAUUUGGUGGAAGUUUUCGUCGAAAAUUUGCUAUAUGCUUACCUUCCAAUCCCAAAGCCAAUGGUGUCUUGUUCUUCGGAGACUCUCCUUACCAAUUCCAUCCAGGUUACGACACAUCCAAGGUCGUCGAAGUAUCUUCAAGUUUUAGGUACACCAAACUCCAUGUCAAUUAUGAAACCACAGCAUCACCUAGGUUGCAAGGAGCACAAUUGCCUGAGUACUUUGUGAAGAUCACAUCUAUUCUGGUAAACCAAAAACCAGUUCCAAUUAACUCCACAUUGCUUGAUUUCCACAAGACAGGCAUCGGUGGUUCAAGAAUAACUACAGUGCAACCUUAUACCACUCUUGAGACUUCCAUCUACAAGUCAUUUGUUAAGGUGUUUGAUGAGCAAAUGCUAGUUACUACAGGAAAUAGGAAAGUGAGAAAGGUUGCAGCUCUGUCACCGUUUAAAGAUUGUUAUCGUAAAGAAGACUUGGAUAUGUCAUUACUCGGGUUUAGUGUUCCUGACAUUUAUUUAGUGUUUGAAAAUCGGGAUGUGAAUUGGUUAAUCACCGGAGCCAAUUCAAUGGUAGAGGUAAGCAAUGAUGUGGUGUGCUUAGGGUUUUUGGAUAGAGGUCCAAACACCGGAUUGACAACAACGUCAAUAGAUAUCGGAGCACACCAAUUGCAAGACAAUCUUCUUCAGUUUGAUAUUGCUGCUUCAAGGCUUGCAUUUACAUCCACACUUCUAUUACGAGAAGUUGAGUGUUCUAACUUCAAAUUUUAAACAAGCUAUAAUGGAGGAUCACUAUAGCUUAUUAGGUUGAAAUUCAACCAAAUAAAAGAUGCUUUCAUUAAUUGUAAGUUACGUGUCCCUCAUGCAUGUUUUUGUAUUUAGUGUGCGUAUAGCUCUGUAAUCGUCGAUACUAUUAAU